GGAUUGUGGCUCAGGGGUAGAGAGCUCACCUAGCACUGGAGGGACCCGAGUUCGAUCCACAGCACCA
This 67-nucleotide transfer RNA is filed under the name Marmota monax (woodchuck). RNAcentral describes it as "tRNA.Ala". The record is from RNAcentral. Lineage: Eukaryota; Metazoa; Chordata; Mammalia; Rodentia; Sciuridae.